RNAcentral lists this small nuclear RNA (107 nucleotides) under Physeter macrocephalus (sperm whale). The record is from RNAcentral. Lineage: Eukaryota; Metazoa; Chordata; Mammalia; Artiodactyla; Physeteridae.
GUGCUUGCUUCGGCAGCACAUAUACUAAAAUUGGAACGAUACAGAGAAGAUUGGCACGGUCCCUGCGCAAGGAUGACACGCAAAUUCGUGAAGUGUUCCAUAUUUUU